GACGAACGCUGGCGGCGUGCUUAACACAUGCAAGUCGAACGGAAAGGCCCUGCUUUUGUGGGGUGCUCGAGUGGCGAACGGGUGAGUAACACGUGAGUAACCUGCCCUUGACUUUGGGAUAACUUCAGGAAACUGGGGCUAAUACCGGAUAGGAGCUCCUGCUGCAUGGUGGGGGUUGGAAAGUUUCGGCGGUUGGGGAUGGACUCGCGGCUUUUCAGCUUGUUGGUGGGGUAGUGGCUUACCAAGGCUUUGACGGGUAGCCGGCCUGAGAGGGUGACCGGCCUCAGUGGGACUGAGAGACGGCCCAGACUCCUACGGGAGGCAGCAGUGGGGAAUAUUGCACAAUGGGCGGAAGCCUGAUGCAGCAACGCCGCGUGCGGGAUGACGGCCUUCGGGUUGUAAACCGCUUUCGCCUGUGACGAAGCGUGAGUGACGGUAAUGGGUAAAGAAGCACCGGCUAACUACGUG
RNAcentral lists this ribosomal RNA (468 nucleotides) under uncultured bacterium. Its description in RNAcentral is "partial 16S ribosomal RNA". It matches the Rfam family "Bacterial small subunit ribosomal RNA", at positions 28 to 507 of the family's 1533-position model. The record is from RNAcentral.